GGGCUGGUAGUUCAGCUGGUUAGAAUGCCGCCCUGUCACGGCGGAGGUCGCGGGUUCGAGUCCCGUCCAGCCCG
This 74-nucleotide transfer RNA is filed under the name Bacteroidia bacterium. RNAcentral describes it as "tRNA-Asp". It matches the Rfam family "tRNA". Rfam says of the family: Transfer RNA (tRNA) molecules are approximately 80 nucleotides in length. Their secondary structure includes four short double-helical elements and three loops (D, anti-codon, and T loops). Further hydrogen bonds mediate the characteristic L-shaped molecular structure. tRNAs have two regions of fundamental functional importance: the anti-codon, which is responsible for specific mRNA codon recognition, and the 3' end, to which the tRNAs corresponding amino acid is attached (by aminoacyl-tRNA synthetases). tRNAs cope with the degeneracy of the genetic code in two manners: having more than one tRNA (with a specific anti-codon) for a particular amino acid; and 'wobble' base-pairing, i.e. permitting non-standard base-pairing at the 3rd anti-codon position. The record is from RNAcentral. Lineage: Bacteria; Pseudomonadati; Bacteroidota; Bacteroidia.